This 253-nucleotide ribosomal RNA is filed under the name uncultured bacterium. RNAcentral's name for it is "partial 16S ribosomal RNA". It matches the Rfam family "Bacterial small subunit ribosomal RNA", at positions 524 to 776 of the family's 1533-position model. The record is from RNAcentral.
UACGUGGGGUGCAGGCGUUAAUCGGAAUUACUGGGCGUAAAGCGUGCGCAGGCGGUCUGCUAAGUGAGGUGUGAAAUCCCCGGGCUUAACCUGGGAACUGCGCUUCUAACUGGCAGGCUUGAGUGUGGCAGAGGGGAGUGGAAUUCCGAGUGUAGAGGUGAAAUUCGUAGAUAUUCGGAGGAACACCAGUGGCGAAGGCGGCUCACUGGUCCAUUACUGACGCUGAGGUGCGAAAGCGUGGGGAGCAAACAGG